GCCUCGGUGGCGUAGUGGUCAAGGCGCUCGCCUGGUAAUCAGGAGGGCGUGGGUUCGAUCCCAGCCGAAGUA
This 72-nucleotide transfer RNA is filed under the name Diaphorina citri (Asian citrus psyllid). It matches the Rfam family "tRNA". Rfam says of the family: Transfer RNA (tRNA) molecules are approximately 80 nucleotides in length. Their secondary structure includes four short double-helical elements and three loops (D, anti-codon, and T loops). The record is from Rfam by way of RNAcentral. Lineage: Eukaryota; Metazoa; Arthropoda; Insecta; Hemiptera; Psyllidae.